Molecule: long non-coding RNA, 249 nt
Filed under: Lathyrus oleraceus (garden pea)
Lineage: Eukaryota; Viridiplantae; Streptophyta; Magnoliopsida; Fabales; Fabaceae
Description: Pisum sativum (pea) long non-coding RNA (PSAT_LNC008616)
Source: RNAcentral
GGAAGAGGGAUUUUUUUUUUGAAAAAUAUUUGCAUAAAAAUGAAUACAACACGUAAUUUUAUAAAUAAUUGAUCACAAUUUUUUUAUUAAUUAAAAAAUUAAAAAAUCUUUAUUUUUCAUUAUCACCACCCAUAAUUUCAAUUUUAAAAAAUCAAAUUUAAAAUAAAUUUAAAAUUCUCUCUCUCCUUAUUAAUUAUUUUAAAAAAUAUAGAUAUAAUUGUGGUUUUAUACAAGAUUUCUCCUUUUUUU